Molecule: long non-coding RNA, 304 nt
Organism: Passer montanus (Eurasian tree sparrow)
Lineage: Eukaryota; Metazoa; Chordata; Aves; Passeriformes; Passeridae
Exons: 3
Source: RefSeq, a predicted model, not a curated record
GAGGGCUGGGGGUCAGGAAGAAUGAAGUAAGGCUGAAUCUGUUGCUUUUGGCCCUGGUUUUGGGCAGGCUCCUCGCCCUUAGAGGUUUUCAAAGAAACUGGUGUCCAUUUAUUGUAGAACAUCAAGGUUUCUCCAUGCUGCUGCAUAUGCCUUUGUCUGCAACACCAAAAAUACUACUUUAUCCAGAAGUUCAGCUAAAAGUAUAGAAGACCUGAAUCUGGGGAUCUGCACUACCUGAACAGUGGCAAAGGACUAAACAAUUUGCAAUGUAAUACUCCAGAAUGUUGUAAUGUUUCAUUCUCUG